UGGGAAUAUUGCGCAAUGGGCGGAAGCCUGACGCAGCAACGCCGCGUGCGGGAUGACGGCCUUCGGGUUGUAAACCGCUUUCAGCAGGGACGAAGCGUGAGUGACGGUACCUGCAGAAGAAGCACCGGCCAACUACGUGCCAGCAGCCGCGGUGAUACGUAGGGUGCGAGCGUUGUCCGGAAUUAUUGGGCGUAAAGAGCUCGUAGGUGGUUGAUCGCGUCGAAAGUGAAAUCUCAGGGCUUAACCCUGAGCGUGCUUUCGAUACGGGUCGACUAGAGGAAGGUAGGGGAGAAUGGAAUUCCUGGUGGAGCGGUGGAAUGCGCAGAUAUCAGGAGGAACACCAGUGGCGAAGGCGGUUCUCUGGACCUUUCCUGACGCUGAGGAGCGAAAGCGUGGGG
RNAcentral lists this ribosomal RNA (398 nucleotides) under uncultured bacterium. RNAcentral's name for it is "partial 16S ribosomal RNA". It matches the Rfam family "Bacterial small subunit ribosomal RNA", at positions 356 to 766 of the family's 1533-position model. The record is from RNAcentral.